Molecule: long non-coding RNA, 536 nt
Organism: Sinocyclocheilus grahami
Lineage: Eukaryota; Metazoa; Chordata; Actinopteri; Cypriniformes; Cyprinidae
Exons: 3
Source: RefSeq, a predicted model, not a curated record
CCACUGAAGUGCGUGAAUUUCAUACCAAACCCAUACUUCGCAUUCCACCUUUACUGUCAAACCGGGAGAAAUAUUACUGAAAACAAUAGAGCACCAAGAUAAAUAUAACUUUAAAGAAAUACACCUCGUCUAGUUCUAUCGGUAGAGGUGUUUCUCAAUAAAGAGAAUUGUCAGAGAGAAGUGUUUGGAGAGAUCGCUCACCCCUUUUUCUACGUUAUCAGGACAGAGUGAAGACCUCCCUCCUGGACAGGAUCCUCCACUCGCUUGUUUCCCACCAAAAAAACAACGGCGCAGAUGGACUCCAACGCUCGCUCCAUGCGCUGGAAAGUCCCUCCGCUCCUCUGACAGUUAGCGGAGACCCUGAAAUGUGAUCAGAUGACUUACUGAGACUGGAAGAGACUUUAUAAAACCCAAGAUGUGGAGAUGCAGGAUAAGCUUCUUUGAGAAUCCUAGCAUAUUUACAUAAAUGGGAUUGUAACACCAUGACUUCUCUUCUUGUUUUGAGAUGAUGGAAAGUCCAGAUUUGGAUUAAAUCC